This 125-nucleotide small RNA is filed under the name Escherichia coli. RNAcentral's name for it is "RtT sRNA". It matches the Rfam family "RtT RNA". From Rfam's summary of the family: This family represents a bacterial cis-regulatory element known as RtT RNA. The record is from RNAcentral. Lineage: Bacteria; Pseudomonadati; Pseudomonadota; Gammaproteobacteria; Enterobacterales; Enterobacteriaceae.
AUUCUGCCCAAGCGGGGAAGGAUGAGAAGCUUCGACCAAGGUUUGACUUGAGCGCCAGCGAGAGAGCGUUGCCGCAGGCAACGACCCGAAGGGCGAAGCGCUGAGUAAUCCUUCCCCCACCACCA